UAACUCCGGUUGAUCCUGCCGGACCCCACUGCUAUCGGGAUAGGACUAAGACAUGCUAGUCAAGCGCUCGCCAGCCAAAGGUGAGUGCGGCGCACAGCUCAGUAACACGUGGCUAACCUGCCCUUGGGACGGGGACACCCCCGGGAAACUGGGGUUAAUCCCCGAUAGGCGAAGAACUCUGGAAUGAAUCUCCACCUAAAAGGCGCUUGCGCUAUGCUCGCAGGUGUCGCCCAAGGAUGGGGCCGCGACCGAUCAGGUUGUUGGUGAGGCAAUGGCUCACCAAGCCUUUUACCGGUGCGGGCCGUGGGAGCGGGAGCCCGGAGAUGGGCACUGAGACAAGGGCCCAG
Molecule: ribosomal RNA, 347 nt
Filed under: Candidatus Bathyarchaeota archaeon
Lineage: Archaea; Thermoproteati; Candidatus Bathyarchaeota
Description: bacterial SSU rRNA
Rfam family: Archaeal small subunit ribosomal RNA
Source: RNAcentral